GCCUCUGAGGAUGAUCAGAAAAAUACCUUUCCGAAUUGUUUAUGAGGAAAAUACAUGGAGACCUGAACUGAAGAGGC
Molecule: non-coding RNA, 77 nt
Organism: Glycine soja
Lineage: Eukaryota; Viridiplantae; Streptophyta; Magnoliopsida; Fabales; Fabaceae
Source: Rfam